GAUGAACGCUGGCGGCGUGCCUAAUACAUGCAAGUCGAGCGAACGGACGAGAAGCUUGCUUCUCUGAUGUUAGCGGCGGACGGGUGAGUAACACGUGGAUAACCUACCUAUAAGACUGGGAUAACUUCGGGAAACCGUAGCUAAUACCGGAUAAUAUUUUGAACCGCAUGGUUCAAAAGUGAAAGACGGUCUUGCUGUCACUUAUAGAUGGAUCCGCGCUGCAUUAGCUAGUUGGUAAGGUAACGGCUUACCAAGGCAACGAUGCAUAGCCGACCUGAGAGGGUGAUCGGCCACACUGGAACUGAGACACGGUCCAGGCCCCUACGGGAGGCAGCAGUAGGGAAUCUUCCGCAAUGGGCGAAAGCCUGACGGAGCAACGCCGCGUGAGUGAUGAAGGUCUUCGGAUCGUAAAACUCUGUUAUUAGGGAAGAACAUAUGUGUAAGUAACUGUGCACAUCUUGACGGUACCUAAUCAGAAAGCCACGGCUAACUACGUG
This 497-nucleotide ribosomal RNA is filed under the name uncultured bacterium. RNAcentral's name for it is "partial 16S ribosomal RNA". It matches the Rfam family "Bacterial small subunit ribosomal RNA", at positions 28 to 507 of the family's 1533-position model. The record is from RNAcentral.